RNAcentral lists this microRNA precursor (94 nucleotides) under Moschus moschiferus (Siberian musk deer). Its description in RNAcentral is "miRNA (ENSMMSG00000012433.1)". It matches the Rfam family "mir-7 microRNA precursor family". Rfam says of the family: This family represents the microRNA (miRNA) precursor mir-7. In this case the mature sequence comes from the 5' arm of the precursor. The record is from RNAcentral. Lineage: Eukaryota; Metazoa; Chordata; Mammalia; Artiodactyla; Moschidae.
UGGAGCAGCCAGCCCCAUCUGGAAGACUAGUGAUUUUGUUGUUGUCUCCUGCGCUCAACAACAAGUCCCAGUCUGCCGCAUGGUGCUGGCCACC